Molecule: long non-coding RNA, 1292 nt
Filed under: Salmo salar (Atlantic salmon)
Lineage: Eukaryota; Metazoa; Chordata; Actinopteri; Salmoniformes; Salmonidae
Description: lncRNA (ENSSSAG00000100103.1)
Source: RNAcentral
CUUAAAAGAAAGUGGUGAUCUUAACUGACCUAAGACAGGGAAUUUUUACUAGGAGUAAAUGUCAGGAAUUGUGAAAAACUGAGUUUAUAUGUAUUUGGCUAAGGUGUAUGUAAACCUCCGACUUCAACUCUACACAUAUCAUGGCUAAUAUCUUGAUUUGAGAUGAUAGUCCGUGUGAGGCGCAUUUUGUGAGAGGGUUCGUGGAGGUGCUAGAGGGAAACUGGUUCGCUUCUGCCCUUGAAAUGUAAAGAUUCACUUUUGUGUUAUGCUCCAAUGUACCAAUGUAUGUUUAGAAAUAGGACCAGCUACUUAUGUGACUCACUCUAUAUACUUCUCCCCUGUUUGUCUCCUGGUGUCGAGCGAUAGCCCUGAGAUUAGCCCCAGCAUGCUAACAACUAUAACAGGUCAGUGAAUGGCAGGGAGCCACUGAGCACAGCUAACCCUCCUGGAAAAAACGAAGUAGACGGAGAGGCAGGAGUGAUGGAGCUCGUCCACAGAGAAGGGAAGUUCUUCAUCAGAGGAAAGAUAAAUGCCUUUUUUCCUCCAAGCCCAAGCAACAUUUUUUGACAUGGGCCUGGGUUCUCUAUCAGUGAUGCCCAGAGAAAGCCUUGCAUUUGAGAAUCAGAUGCAGAAGAGCAAGGUUUUCAGAGCCUGUGGCUAUCCUCCAUACGAUUCAACCACCUCUCAACCUCGCUCUGCUGCCGCAACUCAAUGGAGCUGCCCGUGUCAUAGCAUAUUGAGUCAAUAUCAUAUUUGCAAAGUAGAUGGAUCGAUGAAAACCUGCUUUGAUUUAGAAGAUAGGCAAAUCUUCUGGGCAUUUGAAAUAGAGACACGACAAUUCAGUAAAUAAAAUAUUCACAUCAAUAUGUAUUGAUCGCUACAAUUAGCGUUGCUAGCCUACAGCCGUGCAAUAACAUGUGCACAUUGCCCUAAUUGCCUUAUAUAACCUUUUACGGCACAUACCUGUAUGCUUUGUUAUAAUUGUACAUAGGAAGAAGAGUAGGCCAAGGAUUUGUGAUUUUACACAGCAGCAUUUCCACACCCGACCACUCUCGCUUAUGUUUAUGGAUAAGCUCCAGGAUGGAAGAGGUAAUCCUCUCAUUUACAGUGCCUCAGAUUCAGUCCACCCUAUCUCCUCCUCCCCUCCUCCCCUCCAUCCCUCCACCCCCCAAACCCAAUUCAGCCCUACUCCACAUCGUCAUGGCAUGUUAGACAGAGAAGAUGGAACAAAUCAGUGGCUGGCGGUGGGUGUGGAGAGCUGCGGAUGCAUAUCAGUGGCUGGCGGUGGGUGU